RNAcentral lists this microRNA precursor (52 nucleotides) under Equus caballus (horse). RNAcentral's name for it is "mir-1302 microRNA precursor family". It matches the Rfam family "mir-1302 microRNA precursor family". The record is from Rfam by way of RNAcentral. Lineage: Eukaryota; Metazoa; Chordata; Mammalia; Perissodactyla; Equidae.
UUUUUAGUGUAAGUAUGUCCCAUGCAAUAUUUAGGCCAUAUUUAUAUUAAAA